GGACCCGUGGAGCAGCGGAACGCUCACGUCCCUCUCAAGGACGAGACGCCGGUUCGAUCCCGGUCGGGUCUACGA
This 75-nucleotide transfer RNA is filed under the name Actinoplanes sp. SE50/110. RNAcentral's name for it is "tRNA-Glu". It matches the Rfam family "tRNA". Rfam says of the family: Transfer RNA (tRNA) molecules are approximately 80 nucleotides in length. Their secondary structure includes four short double-helical elements and three loops (D, anti-codon, and T loops). RNAcentral also lists the same sequence under 1 other name. The record is from RNAcentral. Lineage: Bacteria; Bacillati; Actinomycetota; Actinomycetes; Micromonosporales; Micromonosporaceae.